CAGCCGCCGCGGUAAUACCGGCGGCCCGAGUGGCGGUCACUAUUAUUGGGCUUAAAGCGUCCGUAGCCGGGGUGGGAAGGCCUCCGGGAAAUCUGGCCGCUUAACGGUCAGAAUGCCGGAGGAUACUCCCAGCCUAGGGAGCGGGAGAGGCCGAGGGUAUUCCCGGAGUAGGGGGGAAAUCCUAUAAUCCCGGGAGGACCACCUGUGGCGAAGGCGCUCGGCUGGAACGCGUCCGACGGUGAGGGACGAAGGCCAGGGGAGCAAACCGGAUUAGAUACCCGGGUAGUCCUGGCUGUAAACGAUGCGGACUUUGUGUCGGACAAGCUAUGAGCUUGUCCGGUGCCGGAGGGAAACCGUUAAGUCCGCCGCCUGGGGAGUACGGCCGCAAGGCUGAAACUUAAAGGAAUUGGCGGG
This 414-nucleotide ribosomal RNA is filed under the name uncultured microorganism. RNAcentral's name for it is "bacterial SSU rRNA". It matches the Rfam family "Archaeal small subunit ribosomal RNA", at positions 459 to 872 of the family's 1478-position model. The record is from RNAcentral.